UACAGAGGGUGCAAGCGUUGUUCGGAAUUACUGGGCGUAAAGCGUGCGCAGGCGGUUUUGUAAGUCUGUCGUGAAAGCCCCGGGCUCAACCUGGGAAUUGCGAUGGAGACUGCAAGGCUUGAAUCUGGCAGAGGGGGGUAGAAUUCCACGUGUAGCAGGUGAAAAUGCGUAGAGAUGUGGAGGAACACCGAUGGCGAAGGCGAGUCCCUGGACAAACCCUGACACUGAGGCACGAAAGCCAAGGGAGCAAACAGG
RNAcentral lists this ribosomal RNA (255 nucleotides) under uncultured bacterium. RNAcentral describes it as "partial 16S ribosomal RNA". It matches the Rfam family "Bacterial small subunit ribosomal RNA", at positions 524 to 776 of the family's 1533-position model. The record is from RNAcentral.